RNAcentral lists this ribosomal RNA (424 nucleotides) under Roseateles sp. Its description in RNAcentral is "bacterial SSU rRNA". It matches the Rfam family "Bacterial small subunit ribosomal RNA", at positions 56 to 477 of the family's 1533-position model. Lineage: Bacteria; Pseudomonadati; Pseudomonadota; Betaproteobacteria; Burkholderiales; Sphaerotilaceae. The record is from RNAcentral.
UGCAAGUCGAACGGUAACGCGGGGCAACCUGGCGACGAGUGGCGAACGGGUGAGUAAUGUAUCGGAACGUGCCCAGUUGUGGGGGAUAACUGCUCGAAAGAGCAGCUAAUACCGCAUACGACCUGAGGGUGAAAGCGGGGGAUCGCAAGACCUCGCGCAGUUGGAGCGGCCGAUAUCAGAUUAGGUAGUUGGUGGGGUAAAGGCUCACCAAGCCAACGAUCUGUAGCUGGUCUGAGAGGACGACCAGCCACACUGGGACUGAGACACGGCCCAGACUCCUACGGGAGGCAGCAGUGGGGAAUUUUGGACAAUGGGGGCAACCCUGAUCCAGCCAUGCCGCGUGCGGGAAGAAGGCCUUCGGGUUGUAAACCGCUUUUGUCAGGGAAGAAAAGACUCCUGUUAAUACCGGGGGUUCAUGACGGUA